Non-coding RNA from Misgurnus anguillicaudatus (oriental weatherfish), 1175 nucleotides. The record is from RefSeq and is a predicted model, not a curated record. Lineage: Eukaryota; Metazoa; Chordata; Actinopteri; Cypriniformes; Cobitidae.
AGAGAUUGACGUUGAGGGGAAAUUAAUAUGCUGAAUCUCCCCUCAGUAAACGCAUUUAUCAUAGUGUUUACUAUUACAAUGACUUCGUUAUUACUGUAAAAACGUAUAUUUAUAGUUAUGUGUGAUGUAAAUACUGUAAAAUAGUGUCAACUGAUAUAUUAUCUGCAUGGCUAACGGCUACUGUUAGCGCUCUCAUCUAGUCUGCCUGCUUUGCUGCACACUCGUUGUGCAAAGAGGAAGAGAAGAGGGUGGAGAGAAAGAGAGCGCGCGCGCUUCAAAAAGCAGGUUCAGGAACAAUGGACCCAGAGCGGAUAUCCUCCAUGUGGACAGGUGUGGUGAGAAAAACCCUAUACCCUCUUUCCUCUCUUCCUCUUUCCUUGUCUAUCUCUUUCUCCCCUUUUGUAUCUCUUAAUCUCUCAGUGCCUUGUUUAUUCAUGUCACAUCUCCAAAUAGUUCUUUACUGCACCACCUCUUCCCAAUCUCUCGCUCAUUCUCUCUGUUUUACUGCAUGAUUCUGAUCUCUGAUCAGCUGUCUACCGUUCAGCUCCACUUCAUCUCUUCUCGCUGAUCUGUCUCUAUGCUUUAAAUACUCCACUUGCAGACAGAGUCAUACAAAGUGGAUGGACAUCAUUGUCUGAAGCUUAGGGGUGACUGUAAAGUCAGACAGGUGGGAUGUAAACCGAUAUUAGAGCCGCUUUAACUGCUCUUAACAGUUUCUUAUCACUUGGUGUUUUAACGUGGGUGAGUAAACACAAUCAAGGAGUGUGUGUAGGUUUCGCAUCUAUACUUUUAGGGAAACUUUUUUGGUGCUUAUUUAAUUGUUUUAAAGUCUUAAAAAGCCUAAUUGCUUUUAUUUGCAGCUAGAAAGUUUUUCAGUAGUUUAUCAAACAGUUUAGUGGCCCAAACUCUCUUGAGAUAAAAAGAACUACACUAAAUUGUGACCUGAUUAUAGACCUUAACAGACUUGGAGUUUUAAAGGCUACUGUUUUUAUUUAACACACAUUUUUUUUUAAACUUGUGUAGCGGGUCCCAACUAGGUCCCCACUGACAGAUAUAUAGAUAAUCCUCUGAUAGGAGUGCCCUGGAAAUAUCAGAAAUAUUACAGGGAAAUCAGUAACACAGGACAACUGUUGCUCUUUCUCCAUUAACUUGGAUUAUGAGCUCGUCUUGCUCUG